Molecule: ribosomal RNA, 1356 nt
Filed under: uncultured marine eukaryote
Lineage: Eukaryota
Description: SSU rRNA
Rfam family: Eukaryotic small subunit ribosomal RNA
Source: RNAcentral
CACUUCUAAGGAAGGCAGCAGGCGCGCAAAUUACCCAAUCCUGACUCAGGGAGGUAGUGACAAGAAAUAACAAUAAACCGGCUUAUGCCGGUUUAAUUGGAAUGAGUACAAUUUAAACAUCUUAACGAGGAACAAUUGGAGGGCAAGUCUGGUGCCAGCAGCCGCGGUAAUUCCAGCUCCAAUAGCGUAUACUAAAGUUGUUGCAGUUAAAAAGCUCGUAGUUGGAUUUCUGUGGGGACGGAGCGGCCGGCCGCAACACGCGGUUCGAGCUAGCGCUUUCCCUACAUCCUGCCGCGAACCGUGCUACCAUUAGUUCGGUGGCGCCGGGGAUCGGCUCGAUUACUUUGAGAAAAAUAGAGUGUUCAAAGCAGGCCACACGCCUUGAAUAAGUUAGCAUGGAAUAAUAACUAAGGACUUCGGUUCUAUUUUGUUGGUGUUCGGGACUGAAGUAAUGAUUGAUAGGGACAGUUGGGGCGGUCUGUAUUCCAAAGCGAGAGGUGAAAUUCUUAGACCUUCGGAAGACAAACAGCUGCGAAAGCGUUCCGCAAGGAUGUUCCCUUUGAUCAAGAACGAAAGUUGGGGGAUCGAAGACGAUCAGAUACCGUCGUAGUCUCAACUAUAAACUAUACCAGCUAGGGAUCGGCCAACGUUAUUUUAUACCGACUUGGUCGGCACCUUAUGAGAAAUCAAAGCAUCUGGGUUCCGGGGGGAGUAUGGUCGCAAGGCUGAAACUUAAAGGAAUUGACGGAAGGGCACCACCAGCCGUGGAGCCUGUGGCUUAAUUUGACUCGACACGGGAAAACUUACCAGGUCCAGACAUAGUAAGGAUUGACAGAUUGAUAGCUCUUUCUUGAUUCUGUGGGUGGUGGUGCAUGGCCGUUCUUAGUUGGUGGAGUGAUUUGUCUGGUUAAUUCCGUUAACGAACGAGACCCCAGCCUGCUAAAUAGCGCGUGUGAGCUUUGCUCGCAGCGAGCUUCUUAGAGGGACUAUGAUGCGCGAUAGCACAUGGAAGUUUGGGGCAAUAACAGGUCUGUGGUGCCCUUAGAUGUUCUGGGCCGCACACGGGCUACACUGGCGCCUGCAACGAGCAUAUCAGCUGGCCCGAGAGGGUCUUGGCUAAUCUUUUGAACCGGCGCCGUGCUUGGGAUUGACCUUUGCAAUUGUUGGUCAUGCAACGAGGAAUGCCUUGUAAACGCGAGUCAUCAGCUCGCAUUGAAUACGUCCCUGCCCUUUGUACACACCGCCCGUCGCUCCUACCGAUGAAUGUUCCGAUGAAAUUUUCGGAGAGUGCCUGUGAACUUGGCUCUGCCUUGCGAACGGGAAGCUCAAAGUCACUUAAAUCUGAACAUUUCGAGG